Molecule: ribosomal RNA, 468 nt
Filed under: uncultured bacterium
Lineage: Bacteria
Description: partial 16S ribosomal RNA
Rfam family: Bacterial small subunit ribosomal RNA
Source: RNAcentral
GACGAACGCUGGCGGCGUGCUUAACACAUGCAAGUCGAACGGAAAGGCCCUGCUUUUGUGGGGUUCUCGAUUGGCGAACGGGUGAGUAACACGUGAGUAACCUGCCCUUGACUUUGGGAUAACUUCAGGAAACUGGGGCUAAUACCGGAUAGGAGCUCCUGCUGCAUGUUGGGGGUUGGAAAGUUUCGGCGGUUGUGGAUGGACUCGCGGCUUAUCAGCUUGUUGGUGGGGUAGGGGCUUACCAAGGCUUUGACGGGUAGCCGGCCUGAGAGGGUGACCGGCCACAUUGGGACUGAGAUACGGAGCAGAAUCGUACGGGAGGCAGCAGUCGGGAAUAUUGCACAAUGGGCGGAAGCCUGAUGCAGCAACGCCGCGUGCGGGAUGACGGCCUUCGGGUUGUAAACAGAUGUCGCCUGUGACGAAGCGUGAGUGACGGUAAUGGGUAAAGAAGCACCGGCUAACUACGUG